AUGGGCACCCACCAGUCUGGCGUGCUCCUCAACCAGGACGCCUGCCAGGUAUUGAGGCCGCCGCAGCCACUUGCCACCAAUCCAUCUUCAGAGUUGUACUGUUGCAUCAACCUUGCCCGGUCUAGCUGCCGCCGACGCCACCACGACGCCAGACAGCGUCGACCUCCUGCGUGUGUCCAUCACCACACAUCUGACGCCAGGCCUCCGCUGCUCCAUGCCGCCAAGAGCUGCCGCCAUGAAUAUGUAGAAAGAAACACCGCUCCACCGAAGAAGCCAUCCGCUGGUCCCUCGAGCCCGGGUGCAUCUCCAAGAUGCCGCCCCCAAGGGGGUAACGACACAUGA
Molecule: ribosomal RNA, 342 nt
Filed under: Triticum aestivum (bread wheat)
Lineage: Eukaryota; Viridiplantae; Streptophyta; Magnoliopsida; Poales; Poaceae
Description: partial small subunit ribosomal RNA
Source: RNAcentral